Molecule: unclassified non-coding RNA, 273 nt
Filed under: Paenibacillus aquistagni
Lineage: Bacteria; Bacillati; Bacillota; Bacilli; Caryophanales; Paenibacillaceae
Description: Bacterial RNase P class A
Rfam family: Bacterial RNase P class A
About the family: Ribonuclease P (RNase P) is a ubiquitous endoribonuclease, found in archaea, bacteria and eukarya as well as chloroplasts and mitochondria. Its best characterised activity is the generation of mature 5'-ends of tRNAs by cleaving the 5'-leader elements of precursor-tRNAs.
Source: RNAcentral
UCAGACAAUCGCUGGUGAGGUAGCUCACGAGAGGAAAGUCCGGGCUCCAUAGGGCAGGAUGCUGGAUAACGUCCAGUCAACGCAAGUUGAAGGAUAGUGCCACAGAAAUGGACCGCCGAUGGCCGCUUGCGGCACAGGCAAGGGUGGAACCGUGGUGUAAGAGACCACGAGGAACGCUGGUGACUUCGUUCCUGGUAAACCCCAUCUGGAGCAAGACCUAAUGAGACACAUGCCCUGCGAAGGGCAGCCUUAGCCCGAGGUGUGUCUGGGUUG